GACGAACGCUGGCGGCGUGCCUAAUACAUGCAAGUCGAACGCUUUUUCUUUCACCGGAGCUUGCACCACCGAAAGACAAAGAGUGGCGAACGGGUGAGUAACACGUUGGUAACCUGCCCCUCAGAAGGGGAUAACACUUGGAAACAGGUGAUAAUACCGUAUAACACUAUUUUCCCCAUGGAAGAAAUUUGAAAGGCGCUUUUGCGUCCCUGAUUGAUUGACCCGAGGUGCAGUAGCUAGUUGGUGAGGUAACGGCUCACCAAGGCAACGAUGCAUAGCCGACCUGAGAGGGUGAUCGGCCACACUGGGACUGAGACACGACCCAGACUCCUACGGGAGGCAGCAGUAGGGAAUCUUCGGCAAUGGACGAAAGUCUGACCGAGCAACGCCGCGUGAGUGAAGAAGGUUUCGGAUCGUAAAACUCUGUUGUUAGAGAAGAACAAGGAUGAGAGUAGAACGUUCAUCCCUUGACGGUAUCUAACCAGAAAGCCACGGCUAACUACGUGCCAGCCGCCGCUGUAA
Molecule: ribosomal RNA, 522 nt
Filed under: uncultured bacterium
Lineage: Bacteria
Description: partial 16S ribosomal RNA
Rfam family: Bacterial small subunit ribosomal RNA
Source: RNAcentral